Molecule: ribosomal RNA, 235 nt
Filed under: Hepatozoon canis
Lineage: Eukaryota; Apicomplexa; Hepatozoidae
Description: partial 18S ribosomal RNA
Rfam family: Eukaryotic small subunit ribosomal RNA
Source: RNAcentral
CGCGCAAAUUACCCAAUUCUAACAGUUUGAGAGAGGUAGUAACAAGAAAUAACARUACAAGGCARUUAAAAUGCUUUGUAAUUGGAAUGAUAGAAAUUUAAACCCUUUUUAAAGUAUCAAUUGGAGGGCAAGUCUGGUGCCAGCAGCCGCGGUAAUUCCAGCUCCAAUAGCGUAUAUUAARAUUGUUGCAGUUAAAAAGCUCGUAGUUGAAGUUCUGCUGAAAGUAACCGGUCUG